RNAcentral lists this ribosomal RNA (169 nucleotides) under uncultured Hespellia sp. Its description in RNAcentral is "partial 16S ribosomal RNA". It matches the Rfam family "Bacterial small subunit ribosomal RNA", at positions 338 to 524 of the family's 1533-position model. The record is from RNAcentral. Lineage: Bacteria; Bacillati; Bacillota; Clostridia; Lachnospirales; Lachnospiraceae.
CCUACGGGAGGCAGCAGUGGGGAAUAUUGCACAAUGGGGGAAACCCUGAUGCAGCGACGCCGCGUGAAGGAUGAAGUAUUUCGGUAUGUAAACUUCUAUCAGCAGGGAAGAAAAUGACGGUACCUGACUAAGAAGCCCCGGCUAACUACGUGCCAGCAGCCGCGGUAAU